AGGAAGAUGAAGUCAGCUCCUAUGUCAUGUGACCAGGGUUUUAGAGUGUCUACACAUAACCCCCAAGGACAAGACAACCUUGAUCGUAUAGAUUUAUUGACAUUAAAUGACAGAAUGCAUCCAAAGCAACUGUAUUGUGGGUCAGGAACCAUAGAAGAAACAGCAUAUCAAUAUCCACCUUUAUGGCUAUGGACUAAUAAGAAAGCGUUAACAACAAACAGUAUUAUUAUUAUUAUUAUUAUUCAAGGUUAUAUAUCAACACUUCAUGUACAUUAUGCAGCUUGUGUGUCUUUAACAGACCUGGGUUCAAAUAGUAUUUGAAAUCAUUUCAAAUACUUCAUCUUGAUUGAUUGAGCUUGCAUGGCUAAAUGCAGUGUUUCCCACCCCUGGUCUUGCAGUACCCCGAACAGCCCAACCCUGGUCCUCCAGUACUCCGAACAGCCCAACCCUGGUCCUCCAGUACCCCGAACAGCCCAACCCUGGUCCUCCAGUACCCCGAACAGCCCAACCCUGGUCCUGCAUACCCCGAACAGCCCAACCCUGGUCCUGCAGUACCCUGAACAGCCCAACCCUGGUCCUCCAGUACCCCGAACAGCCCAACCCUGGUCCUGCAGUACCCCGAACAGCCCAACCCUGGUCCUGCAGUACCCCGAACAGCCCAACCCUGGUCCUCCAGUACCCCGAACAACCCAACCCUGGUCCUCCAGUACCCCGAACAGCCCAACCCUGGUCCUCCAGUACCCCGAACAGCCCAACCCUGGUCCUCCAGUACCCCGAACAGCCCAACCCUGGUCCUCCAGUACCCCGAACAGCCCAACCCUGGUCCUCCAGCACCCCCAACAGAACACAUUUACACUGUAGCCCUGGACAAACACACCUCAUUCAACUCAUUGAAAGCUUUAUGAUUAGUUAACAAGUUGAGUCAAGUAUGCUUGUCCAGGUUUGCAGUAAACAUUUGUACUGUUGGGGGUACUGGAGGACCAGGGUCGGGAAACACUGACUUAAUGAACCAAUAGAAUUGUCCCAAAAUAGCAAACUCCGCCCAUCUGGCACUCCAGGCAGGACAUAUCAAAUGCUCACAGUUUCAGAUAGUUUUUGAACCCAGGUUCUUCUCAUGACACAGUCAGCACAGAUGAUAACAGAUCUUCAAUGAUAGACAUAUUACAUUAUGGCUUUUCAAUCAUUACAGUUACAGAAAGUUACCAGACAGUAUGGCAGAGCUAAGCUAACAAUUAUGUCAAUUAAAUCUAUAAAACAAUAACUGUACUUUUCCCUUUCCUUCUUCAUUCCCUGUUUAUUGAGAGCACGGGGAAGAAAACCUAUCACUUCCCUUUACCGCCGUAGAUAGGACAUGGAAUGGAGCGAUCAGUUUUCUUGAACACGUUGUAUUUACAUGCCUUUUGGUCAAACUCCUUCACGCAAUCAUCAGGAAAUCUUGUGGGCUCAGAAUAUCUGCAAUCAAACAAUCAACAUCAGCAAAUACUUUGAUAGAAAAUGUAUGGACUAUCACUCACUCACUCAUUCUCAAAUCAAAUUUAUACAACAGGUGUAGACCUUACUGUGAAAUGCUUAUUUAGAAGCCCUUAACCAACAAUGCAGUUUUAAGAAAAUAAGAGUUAAGAAAAUAUUUACUAAAUAAACUGAAGUAACACAAUAAAAUAACAAUAACGAGGCUAUGUACAGUGGGUACCGAAUGAAUGUGCGGGGGUACAGGUUAGUUGAGGUAAUGAAGGUAAUUUGUAAAGUGACUAUGCAUAGAUUAAACAUCGUUCGGGUCUCCAUUUGAUGAAUUGUUCAGGAGUCCUUAUGGUUUGGGGGUAGAAGCUGUUAAGGAGCCUUUUGGACCUAGACUUGGCGUUCUGGUACCACUUCCCGUGCGAAAGCAGAGAGAAUAAUCAAUGACUUGGGUGACUGGAGUCUUUGAAAACAAAUUUGGGCCUCUGACACCGCCUGGUAUAGAGGUCUUGGAUGGCAGGGAGCUUGCCCCUAGUGAUGUACUGGGCCGUACGCACUACCCUCUGUAGCGCCUUUUAGUCAGAGGCCGAGCAGUUGCCAUACCAAGCGGUGAUGCAGCCAGUCAAGAUGCUCUCAAUGGUGCAGCUGUAUAACUUUUUGAGGAUCUCAGGACCCAUGCCAAAUCUUUUUAGUUUCCUGGG
Molecule: long non-coding RNA, 2156 nt
Filed under: Salmo salar (Atlantic salmon)
Lineage: Eukaryota; Metazoa; Chordata; Actinopteri; Salmoniformes; Salmonidae
Description: lncRNA (ENSSSAG00000103357.1)
Source: RNAcentral